Canis lupus familiaris (dog) is the source of this 4035-nucleotide long non-coding RNA. RefSeq lists it as uncharacterized. The record is from RefSeq and is a predicted model, not a curated record. The transcript has 5 exons. Lineage: Eukaryota; Metazoa; Chordata; Mammalia; Carnivora; Canidae.
ACCCAUGCACCAACGCCAUCCCAAGCUGUUUGUCCUUGGUUCACAGUUACAGGUGCCUAGGGCGCCAAAUAAGGCGUGCUUGGAAUAACACCCCCUCCUCCCACCACCUGCCGGCCCCUGCUUAUCUGGAAGGACUUCACACCCUCGAAAACCCGACUCUGAGCUUCCACAGAGUUUGCUGCAUGGCUUCCAGCCCCCUGCUGAGCCACAGCCAGCUAGCUAAGCGACGCGAGGUGCACAACGCUCUCUUCCCCCCUCUUUCCCGUGUGUUUUUAUGAACAUCCAAAGGGAAGAUAAUUAAAACCUGCAAGGAAACCGGCUGGCAGCGAAAAAGAAAAUCUUGGUGACUUGGGGACGACGCCACAUGUUUAUGGGUCUUGCUAACACUGCUGUUUGAACGUGGAGCAAUGCUAAUAUCAGGUAGCUGACAAACAUUAUUACCCCAAGUUAGAACUACCCUAGAGGAGGAUGCCGCUGCCAAGUGCUAACAGCUAGCAGAUGCACUUGUGUCUCGGGCUUCCAGCCCCGGAGUUCCGCUAGGCACCGCGCUGGCUGCCUCUGCUCUCCCUCACUGUACUACCCGGAGCUCCGAGCUCAGCCUCUGCUCUGGAGAAAACUGGACCCAAUCCAGGAUGCCACGCUGCAUUGAGUCAACAUGUCUCCUUAGUCUAGGAGACGCUGCACACAGCCAGCCUUAUUCAGUCUGCUGAAUAGGGAAUGGAUACAAAGGACGGUCCAAUGGGAAACUCUCCUCAGCUUGUGACAGGAGGCCUUCCGAUGGUGCGUCUUAGAAACGCAUCAGAGAGGAAAAUGAAAAGGAGAAAUUCUCAGAAGCAGAAGUUCUCAAAUCUCGAGGUCCCGGGAUCAGUAUCAUCAAAGAACUUAUGAGAAGUGCAAAUACUUACCGAAUUGGUAGCAGCUGCAGGGGCCUGGAUCUGUGCUGUAAAAAGCCCUACAGAUUGCCACUAAAGUUUGAGACUGCUCCAAGCAGCAGUUCUCUGUCUAGUAACCCUUAAUUCAAAUUGUAUAAUUUAAAAAUAUUAUUUUAUAAAAACAUGUUUCCUUAGCAAAUGCAACUAUUAGAUAUUAAAACACAGUCUAGAGCUGUAAUAGUUAAAACAGUGGCAAAUACUUCCAGAGCAGGAAACAAAGAUUAUUUCCAAAACCAAACAUGGAAAGGAUUUAAUGCACAGCCAACAAGUUGUUUCAAGUCAGCAGGGAAAGGAUGACAAAGGCUGAGAAUACUGCUAACCAUUUGGCAAGCAAAUAAAGGUGUUUUCCUGGUUUAUAGCAUAUGUCAAAAAUAAAUGGCAGGUAUAUUCAGGAUUUUAAUGCAAACAAUAGAAGUAUAAAAAUCAAUGCAAGAAAAUGGGCCAACAUUUCUAUAUGCUCAGAGCCAGGAAGGACGUUUAAGCAUGGCUAUGGCAAGUGAAGAAAUCAUAAAGGAAAGGAUUUAUACACAUUUUUAGGAUCCUGUAAAUUAAAAAUAGAGUAAGUGAAGUUAAAAGUCAAAGACACAGUAGAAAAUGUAUUGAUCUUGUUUACUUGCUAAGAUAUUAGUACCUCAUUCCUAUCCUUAUAGACCUUACUGGAAGGUGCAGGAGGCCAACAUGAAUGAUAUCCAAAAUGUAAAUCUGAAAUUGCAACAUAGAAAAGGGCUGAAGAGGAAAGAUGUGUGGGGAGCUAGAGGCCUGUCCUCAUUAGGCAAAAGUGGGAAAAAAUGGAGUAGGUAGGAAAAGUCUCAAAAAAUCCUAUUCCAUUUUUUGAUGCAAAGCAAACUCACAAUAAAACCAAUUGCAAUAGCAGCAAAUGGCUUUCAUGAGGACCUGAGCAGAAGCAGGUGCGUGUGGGUGGAGAGAGUAAGCAAGUGGGGGCACCCCACAGGAUUAGGCUGAAGGCCAAGAGGGGGCCGUGACAAAGAGUUUUGUCCUUUUCUUAUUGAGAAUCAAUUUGAAGGACAAGAGGCAGCAGAUACAUGAUUAGAUUUGCAAUUUGAAAGGUCACUCUGUCACGGAGAAAUGAGUGAAGAGGGGCAAGAUUGGAAGCUGGGAGACCAGGUAUAAGAGUAAGGCUGUGGGCCGGAUGAAUAGGAAGAUGAUGGAAAGAAGUGAAUAAUUUCAAUGACAAUUUACAAUACAUAUAAUGGAAAAGGGUUUAUGCCCAUCAUAUAUUUAAAAAAAAACCCAUAUGUCAGAUAAAGAUUAUUUUAAUAGUGAAAGGCUGGAAGCACUGUAAAUACACAAUGGUAUAUUCAAAAAGUGAAAUUUUAUCCAAUCAUUUAAAAUGACCAUGUCAUAUAUUAGUGGAUAUGGACACAUUUUAAUAUUAUAUUGUUUUAAGAGGAAAUAUACCACAAAAUGGAAGGAGAAUCUUUUCAGCAAAUGGUGCUGGGAUAACUGGAUACCCACAUGCAAAAUAAUGAAGUUGGACCCUCACCUAACAUCAGGCACAAAAAUUAAUUCAAAAUGGAUCACAGAUUGUGGUAGGCAGAAUGAUGAAUAUAUUACGCUACAUGGCAAAGGGGAGUUAAGAGAGCAGAGGGAAUUAAGGUGGCUAAUUAGGUGGUUUUAAAAGAGGGAGAGUAUCAGGAUACUCGGUGGGUCCAGUGUAAUCCCAAGGGUCUUGAAAUGUGGAAGGGUGAGAAAGAAGAGGAAGUUGGAGUGAUUCGAUAUGAGAAGAACUCAGUGUGCCAUUGCUGGCUUGGAAGAUGAAAGGGAGCUGUGAGCCAAAAGAGGUGGGCAGCUCUAGAACAUGGAAGAGACAAGAAGGCAGGCAUUCUUCCCUACAGACUCCACAAGGAAUGCAGCCUUAUUGACAUUUUGAUUUUAGCCUAGUGAAACCCAUUUCAGACUUUUGACUUCCAGAGCUGUAAGAAAAUCAGUUUGUGUUAGGUUACUGACCCAGAUAACUAAGUGGGAGCUAAAACUAUAAAAUCCUUAGAAGAAAACAUCAGAGUAAUUUAAUGACCUUGGGUCAUGAUGGUUUCCUAGAUAUGACACCAAAAGCACAAGCGUCAAAGGGAAAAAAAAUGGGACUUCAUCAAAAUUGAAGACUACCAUCCUGCUAGUGAUAUCAUCAAGAAAAUGAAAAGACAACCCACAAAAUAGGAGAAAAUAUUCACAAAUCAUGUCUGUUAAAGGACUUGUAUCCAGAAUAUAUACAAAAUUCUUACAAAGUAAUAAUAAAAAGAUUAUCCAGUUAAAAAUAGGCAAAGGACUUGAAUACACAUUUCUCCAAAGAGGAUACACAAAUGACCAAUAAGCACAUGAAAAGAUGCUCGACAUCAUUAGUCGUUAGGGAAAUGAAAAUCGAAACCACAAUAAAACCGUUUCAUAUCCACUAAUCAAAAAUACAGAUAAUAAAAGAUAUUGGUGAGAAUAUGCAGAACUUGGAAUCCUCAAGCACUACUGGUCGUAAUGUAAAAUGGGGCAGCCACUGUGGACAACGGUUGGGCACCUGCAACAUAAAGUUUAAUGUUAAGUACCACGUGACCCAGAAAUUCUGAUCCUAUGUAUAGAUCUAAGAAAAAUAAAAACAUAGGCCUACACAUGAACUUGAACAUGGAUGUUCAUAGCAGCAAUACUAGUAACAGCCAAAAAGUGGAAACAACUGAAGUGCCCAUCACAUGAUGCAUGGGUAAAUAAAUUGUGGUAUACCCAUACAAUGGAAUAUUAUUUGGCAAUGAAGAGAAAUCAUGGCCCUUGAAAAUAUUAUGCUCAGUGAAAGAAAGUCACAAAAGACUACUUACUAAAGACCACUUAUUAUCCACAUAAAUGAAAUGUCCUGGAGAUGCAAAUUUAUAGAGACAGAGAGUAGAAUGGUAGUUUCCUAGGUCCGAGAAGCGUGAUGAGGUUUGGGGAGGGCCUAUGAAUGGGUACAGGAUUUCUCUUUAGAGGGAUGAAAAAUCUCUGAAAAUUAGAUUGUGGCAAUGGCUGCAUUAACUCUGAAUAUACUAAAAAUAUGGUAUUGUACACUUUUAAUGGGUGAAUGGUAUAUGUGAAAUUAUUUCUUAAUAAAGUUGCUUUUUAAAAAGUA